Molecule: ribosomal RNA, 462 nt
Filed under: Triticum aestivum (bread wheat)
Lineage: Eukaryota; Viridiplantae; Streptophyta; Magnoliopsida; Poales; Poaceae
Description: partial small subunit ribosomal RNA
Source: RNAcentral
AUUGCAAUUGUUAAGUGACUUACAUCACAAUCUUGUGCAUUUAGGGGCCAUGAUGAAACACCAAAGUCAAAGAACAUAGGGAAGUAUAUUGAGCUAUUAAAGCUCCUUGCAGAAUUCAAUCAUGAGAUUGCUGAAGUUAUUUUGAAGAAUGCUCCAUACAGUUCAAAGUACACAUCACAUGAAAUCCAAUAGGAGAUUUGGGGUAUUUAUGCAUUUAAAGUUAGAAAACAUAUCCAUGAAGAGAUCAGGGAUUAUAAAUUUUCUAUUCUAGUGGACAAAACAUGUGAUGCGGCAAAAAGAAUGCAAAUGACGGUUCUUAGAUUCGUUGAUGAAGAUCGUAUACUGCAAGAGUGGUUCUUUGCCUUGAUACAUGUGACGAACACCAAAGCCGCAACACUUAAAGUGGUAAUAAGUUCUGUGUUAUCGAAACAUGCUUGUGAUGUUCAGAACCUUCGUGGGUAG